CGAGUGGCGGACGGGUGAGUAAUGUCUGGGAAACUGCCCGAUGGAGGGGGAUAACUACUGGAAACGGUAGCUAAUACCGCAUAACGUCGCAAGACCGAAGAGGGGGACCUUCGGGCCUCUUGCCAUCGGAUGUGCCCAGAUGGGAUUAGCUAGUAGGUGGGGUAACGGCUCACCUAGGCGACGAUCCCUAGCUGGUCUGAGAGGAUGACCAGCCACACUGGAACUGAGACACGGUCCAG
Molecule: ribosomal RNA, 239 nt
Filed under: uncultured bacterium
Lineage: Bacteria
Description: partial 16S ribosomal RNA
Rfam family: Bacterial small subunit ribosomal RNA
Source: RNAcentral